AAAUGGUAAGAUAAAGUUGUAGUUGAGAAACAGCUACACAGUCUUUUAUAUUCAUGAACAUAAUACUCCUGGAUGACGUUUCCCUGCGUCAUCCUUUUUUAU
This 102-nucleotide small RNA is filed under the name Staphylococcus simiae CCM 7213 = CCUG 51256. Its description in RNAcentral is "Staphylococcus simiae CCM 7213 Staphylococcus sRNA71 small RNA". It matches the Rfam family "Staphylococcus sRNA71 small RNA". From Rfam's summary of the family: sRNA71 is a Bacterial small RNA discovered by RNA-seq analysis of the multiresistant Staphylococcus aureus strain ST239 grown in the presence of antibiotics and found throughout the Staphylococcus genus. It is thought to be a trans-encoded small RNA expressed in diverse conditions and media. The record is from Rfam by way of RNAcentral. Lineage: Bacteria; Bacillati; Bacillota; Bacilli; Caryophanales; Staphylococcaceae.